Molecule: ribosomal RNA, 105 nt
Filed under: Lubomirskia baikalensis
Lineage: Eukaryota; Metazoa; Porifera; Demospongiae; Spongillida; Lubomirskiidae
Description: partial 28S ribosomal RNA
Source: RNAcentral
GCGUUCCAGAGACCAAAUUGGUUUUUGUUUUUUUUUACAAGAGGGGAUAAAAAAAGAGAGCAACUCGUUGCUCUCGAUUUUUUGAACUUCCAUCCUGGACCUCAG